Molecule: long non-coding RNA, 3066 nt
Organism: Eriocheir sinensis (Chinese mitten crab)
Lineage: Eukaryota; Metazoa; Arthropoda; Malacostraca; Decapoda; Varunidae
Exons: 2
Source: RefSeq, a predicted model, not a curated record
CGGAGAAAAAAGACUAAGUAAACAGCAAUGGGCUGUGUAGUUUGUGGCGACAUUAUGUUCAUCAAAGCUAAUGAAUGGCGAUUGAAUAUGACAAAAGGAAAAACAAUGUGGGAAAUGUGUCAGGCCGAGAAGAGGCAGGGUAAGUACUAUAAAAAAAAAAAAAGAUGAAUAAUGCCCAAAUGUUAAAACAAAUGAACAUUACCAAAUGAAAUUACAAAAAAAAAAAAAAAAAAAAAAAUUAAAAGGAAUGUUAAAUGUAAGAAUGAACGGAUUCAAAAUGCAAAGGAAGCAAACACCACUGCCAAUUUCAAAUAAUGCAAGUUCAAACAUUUCCCUGAACAAAGCUAACUGAAUUUAAGCCUACAAAAAGCAAUAUAACUAAUGCACAGGGAAGCUUCAAAUAAGUCCAUGGAAAUAAUUAAAAAAAGGCAUAUGAGCAAAUGCACACAGGAAAAGCACAUAAAACUGAACACUACAAAAUUAAUAGCAUUAGUAUUGCAGGACUAACAUCCUCUCAGCUGAUAAGUGAUAAGAAUACCACUUUGCUAUGGGAGAGAGAAGAGAGAGAGAGAGAGAGAGAGAGAGAGAGAGAGAGAGAGAGAGAGAGAGAGAGAGCAAACCUCAGCAGCCACAGCUCAUUAUCUGAUAUGUUUCUGUUAUAGAUAAAGGUGGAUGGGGGAGCUGCCAGGGCGUGUCAAGGUGACCCCAGGGACCACUUGGGAAUGACAAACAGCUGUGACUGUUAUUGACUUCCUUUUCCCAAGUGUGCAGAGUGGGGGAAAGUUGAUGAAAAAUAACAGAAUAAUUUUGUAAGAAUUAUUUGAGCCGGAGGAAGAUGUACAAGAAAAUACCUGAAGGCAGAAGACAAAAAUUGAGGCUCAUGAAAUAGAAAAAUAUGCAGAACAAAGAAAAUGCAAGGCUCAGGAAACAGGAGAAGGAAAUAGCUUGGAGCAGGAUAGAAGAAAAUGGACAAAAGAAAAAAAUUACACUGAGAGGAUAAAACUCCUAAAAUGAGAUUUUGCAAUACUUGCCUUGCGUGCAUAAGAUUAAUUUUUCAGCAUUUAAUGACAAGCCUAUGACUCAUGCCAUUCCAGCAUGUGUGUGUGUGUGUGUGUGUGUGUGUGUGUGUGUGAUGUACAGGAAAUUAGCUACGACUCAUUGUAUCAUUUCUGAGUCUCAAUCAGUCUAGUUUUUAAACUCUUUGUCCAGGUUGCAUCAGUGAUUAAUGGAUCCGCUGGAAAAGCUAUAUUUCUAGGUAAAUUUCAACCAUCUCUUUUCAACUUCCUUUCAUGUCCUCUAAUUGGUUCACCAACCCAUGCAAAGAUCUUCUCUCAAUUCUGUCUAUGCUCCCUUCAUUGCCCUGGACACUACAAUCAUAGCACUUCUCUUUUCUUUUUUUUGAGAAUGGCAGCACCAAUAUUUCCAAUCUCUUCUUGCAAGUUAAAUCUGUCAGACCAUCUGGGUUGCAUUGCCUAUCAUGGUUAUAUGCUUCAUUAUAUGUGGGGCCCACACUACUGCUGCUUAUUCCAAUCUCAGAUGGAUACAUGGCACUAUCAAUGUCUUCAUAUCUUUGUCCAUAUAGUGAAAUGCCAUUUUCAUUUGUUAACAGCUUAUAACUCUGACAAUCUCAUUGUGGUGUUUUCAGGUAACUUUAUCCUAAACCACCACUCCCAGGUCCCUCUCUUGCUUUUUUGUUUGUGGUGUGUGUGUGUGUGUGUGUGUGUGUGUGUGUGUGCGCGUGUUCCAAGGUGAACAACAAUUGCUGUAAUCAUGAAUCCACAGGAAAAAUUCUGCAAACAAAUUUAAUCAAUCAGGUAUGUAAAGCCAUUUCCUUAAGACAGCACAAGGAGCUAAGGACUAAAAACAACAGAUAAAUACAAAUAAAUAAAAUGCUGAAAAUUCAAAAAGCUACACAGCCAGCCAUAUGAAUAUUAGUUCAAGCACAAACUUCAGGUGCCCUGCACAUUACUUCAGUCACGUGGAAAGCAAGGGCAUAUAAUCAAGUAAUGUUAAGCCUUCAAACAUUUCUUAAUUGUAAAGCAAAUCAUAAAAUAAUCAAACAUUAAGUGAACCACAUAUAAGCCGGAGAAAAAAUCUAGUUAAAUGUGUGUAACUUCUGCUGCUUGGGAAUAAAUGAAGUCAGCACAUAAUCAAACUAUCAAACAACGUCUAAUUCAUCAUACAUAAGCUGGACAAAAUCUGGCUAAGGAUGUCUUUCAAGGAUUUCAAAAUAGAAGUGGUGGACAUGACACAAAGAGCGACAGGGGAAAGGGAGCCGAGGUAAGAGACAGGAGUACGAUUGACCGGAAGAAAACUAGGUAACUUUGAGUUCACCUUUCAGUCCUUUCUGUUAUCACAAUUAAUACAUCAUGUAAUCAUAAUCGAUUACACCUAAUUUUAUUGUAAUUGUAAUCGUGAAAAUAUGAAGUAAUCAUAAUCGAUUACAUAACAUAAGUAAUCGCCCCAUGUCUGAAAUACAGAAGGUUAAAAAGACUGAUAACAAGGGAAUGAGAGAUGAGUGGGGUGCAAGGAAUCAUGAAAAUCAAUCUGGAGAAAAACUAGUUGAAGGUGUAGGGAACUUCCACUAAUUAGAAAUACAGUAGCUUGAGAUGACUGAUUACAAGGGAAUGGGAGAUUAGAAGUGCAGGAAAUCAUGGCCAUCAAUCUGAAGAAAACCUAGUUAAGAUGCAUGUAACCUCCACUGAUAAGAAAUGGAUUAGUCUGAGAAGAUAACAAUGGAUUGACGCAGGUGCAAGGAAUCACGAAAAUCAAUUUGGAGAAAACCUAGUUCAAAAUGCUUGUAAUUCCACUGAUAAGAAAUACAUUAGUUUGAGAAGACUGAUAAACUGGGAAUGAGAGAUGAGGACGUGCAAGGAAUCAUGAAAAUCAAUCUGAAGAAAUAUUAAUUGAAGAUGCCUGGAACUUAAUUUGAUAAAAAGUAGUUUGAAAAGACUGAUGAGGGGAAAGGAGAUGAGGGGAAAGGAGGUGAGAGGUGAAGGAAAUAAUGACAACCAAUCCAUCAAAAAAACAUCAAUUCAAGGAAACAUAGGCUGGAAAAAAAAAUAA